CAGGGGGGGCAAGCGUUGUUCGGAAUUACUGGGCGUAAAGGGCUCGUAGGCGGCCAACUAAGUCACACGUGAAAUCCCCAGGCUUAACCUGGGAACUGCGUGUGAUACUGGAUGGCUUGAAUUCGGGAGAGGGAUGCAGAAUUCCAGGUGUAGCGGUGAAAUGCGUAGAUAUCUGGAGGAAUACCGGUGGCGGAGGCGGCAUCCUGGACCGACAUUGACGCUGAGGAGCGAAAGCUAGGGGAGCAAACGGGAUUAGAUACCCCGGUAGUCCUAGCCCUAAACGAUGAAUGCUUGGUGUGGCGGGUAUCGAUCCCUGCCGUGCCGAAGCUAACGCAUUAAGCAUUCCGCCUGGGGAGUACGGUCGCAAGGCUG
RNAcentral lists this ribosomal RNA (372 nucleotides) under uncultured organism. RNAcentral describes it as "bacterial SSU rRNA". It matches the Rfam family "Bacterial small subunit ribosomal RNA", at positions 526 to 896 of the family's 1533-position model. The record is from RNAcentral.